Grammomys surdaster is the source of this 768-nucleotide long non-coding RNA. RefSeq lists it as uncharacterized. The transcript has 6 exons. Lineage: Eukaryota; Metazoa; Chordata; Mammalia; Rodentia; Muridae. The record is from RefSeq and is a predicted model, not a curated record.
UAACACUGGAGGUGUAUCUGUUAAUUGUUCCAGGAAACCCAGUUUAGCUGUAAUCUGUACUGAACAGAACCAUGUGGAAGAUGGCGUAUCGCUGUCUGAAGGCAAGCCACUAAAGCACCGAGGAUGACACAUUGUGAAGAGUGGAGAGGAGGGCAGAAAGUAGGAACAGCAACCUGGACUGUCCAGCUCAGAAGCUAAGCAGACAACGAUCAUCGAAAUGGGGUGUAUUUAUUGAGGCCAACUAACAUAGACUGAAGAUGAAAACAUUAUCCAGUGAUUAAGAAUCGAGAGAUUCUUUUUGGUUGGGGAAAGCACAGAGAUUUUAACUCCAGAAUUAAGCAAACUCUAGAUAUCGCAUAGAUUCAUCACACCAAGUACAUGAAAAAGAAACCACACAGGAGAACUGAACAAUUUGACUGGCCGUAUUUCAAGUUUUCAGUCUGGCUGUGUGCUUUGGGCAGAUGAAGCAAGAUUAAAUAAAGAGCUGAGGAUCAACUGGUGACAUUUCUGUCUGGAAUCCCAGCUACAUAAUUCAAGUAGGCAAGGUUCUUCUGUGGCACAGUCCCAGAGCAUCAACUCCAUGGCUCUAUACCAUCCUGAGCAUCGAGCAUCUGAUCCGUGGCUCUGUGCCAUCCUUCUACAGGGGCGUACCAUGGAGAUGUAUAAAGAAUGAGAGACACUAGCUGGUCCCAGUCUCCCCCCGCUCUGGACACAUAUACAGCAGAUGGCUGCCUGGACUGGCCUCAGUGGAAGAAGACAUGCCUAAAC